UACGGAGGGAGCUAGCGUUGUUCGGAAUUACUGGGCGUAAAGCGCACGUAGGCGGUUCGUUAAGUCGGAUGUGAAAGCCCUCGGCUCAACUGAGGAAGUGCACCCGAAACUGGCGAGCUUGAGUACGAAAGAGGAUCGCGGAAUUCCCGGUGUAGAGGUGAAAUUCGUAGAUAUCGGGAGGAACACCGGCGGCGAAGGCGGCGAUCUGGGUCGAUACUGACGCUGAGGUGCGAAAGCGUGGGGAGCAAACAGG
Molecule: ribosomal RNA, 253 nt
Filed under: uncultured bacterium
Lineage: Bacteria
Description: partial 16S ribosomal RNA
Rfam family: Bacterial small subunit ribosomal RNA
Source: RNAcentral